UCCUGGCUCGGAUUAACGCUGGCGGCGUGCAUAACACAUGCAAGUCGAACGAUGAAGCUUUUUUGAUUUCUUCGGAAUGAUUAAAAGUGGAUUAGUGGCGGACGGGUGAGUAACGCGUGAGUAACCUGCCUUAGAGAAGGGGAUAGCCUUUGGAAACGAAGAAUAAUACCCUAUGAAACCAUAACCUCGCAUGAGGCCUUGGUCAAAGAUUUAUCGCUCUAAGAUGGACUUGCGCCUGAUUAGUUAGUUGGUGGGGUAACGGCCUACCAAGACAGCGAUCAGUAGCCGGCUUGAGAGAGUGUACGGCCACAUUGGGACUGAGACACGGCCCAGACUCCUACGGGAGGCAGCAGUGGGGAAUUUUGCACAAUGGGGGAAACCCUGAUGCAGCGACGCCGCGUGAUUUAGAAGGCCUUCGGGUUGUAAAAAUCUUUUCUAUGGGAAGAAAAUGACAGUACCAUAGGAAUAAGGACCGGCUAAUUACGUGCCAGCAGCCGCGGUAAUACGUAAGGUCCGAGCGUUGUCCGGAAUCAUUGGGCGUAAAGGGUACGUAGGCGGGUAAGCAAGUUAGAAGUGAAAUCCUAUAGCUCAACUAUAGUAAGCUUUUAAAACUGCUCAUCUUGAGGUAUGGAAGGGAAAGUGGAAUUCCUAGUGUAGCGGUGAAAUGCGCAGAUAUUAGGAGGAAUACCGGUGGCGAAGGCGACUUUCUGGCCAUAACCUGACGCUGAGGUACGAAAGCGUGNGUAGCAAACAGGAUUAGAUACCCUGGUAGUCCACGCCCGUAACGAUGAGUGUUAGGUGUCUGGAGUAAAUCU
Molecule: ribosomal RNA, 815 nt
Filed under: uncultured Clostridia bacterium
Lineage: Bacteria; Bacillati; Bacillota; Clostridia
Description: bacterial SSU rRNA
Rfam family: Bacterial small subunit ribosomal RNA
Source: RNAcentral